RNAcentral lists this ribosomal RNA (465 nucleotides) under uncultured bacterium. RNAcentral describes it as "partial 16S ribosomal RNA". It matches the Rfam family "Bacterial small subunit ribosomal RNA", at positions 338 to 795 of the family's 1533-position model. The record is from RNAcentral.
CCUACGGGUGGCAGCAGUGGGGAAUAUUGCUCAAUGGGCUUAAGCCUGACGCAGCGACGCCGCGUGAGGGAUGAAGGUCUUCUGAUCGUAAACCUCUUUCAGCAGGGAAGAACGGUCACUGUGCUAAUCAGCAGUGAAUUGACGGUAACUACAAAGGAAGCACCGGCUAACUCCGUGCCAGCAGCCGCGGUAAUACGGAGGGUGCGAGCGUUAAUCGGAAUUAAUGGGCGUAAAGCGCUCGUAGGCGGUAUGUCAAGGCAAGGGUGAAAUCCCCGCGCUCACCGUGGGAACUGCCUUUGAAACUGGCAAACUGGAGUGUGGGAGAGGAUAGCGGAAUUCCAGGUGUAGGAGUGAAAUCCGUAGAUAUCUGGAGGAACAUCAGUGGCGAAGGCGACUAUCUGGCACAUAACUGACGCUGAGGAGCGAAAGCGUGGGUAGCAAACAGGAUUAGAUACCCUAGUAGUC